GUUAUAGGGUCAAGCGAAUAAGUGCAUGUGGUGGAUGCCUUGGCGAUCACAGGCGAUGAAGGACGUAGUAGCUUGCGAAAAGCUGCGGGGAGCUGGCAAACGAGCUUUGAUCCGCAGAUGUCCGAAUGGGGAAACCCGGCCCGUAUGGGUCAUCCCUUGCUGAAUACAUAGGCAAGGGAGGCGAACGCAGUGAACUGAAACAUCUAAGUAGCUGCAGGAAAAGAAAUCAACCGAGAUUCCCAAAGUAGUGGCGAGCGAAAUGGGAACAGCCUUGUACUCUUUAGCAGUAUUGUUAGCGGAACGGAAUGGAAAGUCCGGCCAUAGUGGGUGAUAGCCCCGUACGCGAAAACAGUAUUGUGGAACUAGGUGUACGACAAGUAGGGCGGGACACGUGAAAUCCUGUCUGAAGAUGGGGGGACCAUCCUCCAAGGCUAAAUACUCGUGAUCGACCGAUAGUGAACCAGUACCGUGAGGGAAAGGCGAAAAGAACCCCGGGAGGGGAGUGAAAUAGAUCCUGAAACCGCAUGCAUACAAACAGUCGGAGCCUGGAAACGGGUGACGGCGUACCUUUUGUAUAAUGGGUCAGCGACUUACAUUCAGUGGCAAGCUUAACCGAUUAGGGAAGGCGUAGCGAAAGCGAGUCCGAAUAGGGCGUUCAGUCGCUGGGUGUAGACCCGAAACCAAGUGAUCUAUCCAUGGCCAGGUUGAAGGUGCGGUAACACGUACUGGAGGACCGAACCCACUAACGUUGAAAAGUUAGGGGAUGAGCUGUGGAUAGGGGUGAAAGGCUAAACAAACUUGGAAAUAGCUGGUUCUCUCCGAAAACUAUUUAGGUAGUGCCUCGUGUCUCACCUUCGGGGGUAGAGCACUGUCAUGGUUGGGGGGUCUAUUGCUGAUUACCCCGCCAUAGCAAACUCCGAAUACCGAAGAGUGCAAUCACGGGAGACAGACAUCGGGUGCUAACGUCCGGUGUCAAGAGGGAAACAACCCAGACCGCCAGCUAAGGUCCCUAAGAUUGGCUAAGUGGGAAACGAAGUGGGAAGGCUAAAACAGUCAGGAGGUUGGCUUAGAAGCAGCCACCCUUUAAAGAAAGCGUAAUAGCUCACUGAUCGAGUCGUCCUGCGCGGAAGAUGUAACGGGGCUAAGCCAGUCACCGAAGCUGCGGAUGCACAUAAGUGCAUGGUAGGAGAGCGUUCUGUAAGCCUGUGAAGGUGUCUUGUAAAGGAUGCUGGAGGUAUCAGAAGUGCGAAUGCUGACAUGAGUAGCGAUAAAGGGGGUGAAAGGCCCCCUCGCCGUAAGCCCAAGGUUUCCUACGCAACGUUCAUCGGCGUAGGGUGAGUCGGCCCCUAAGGCGAGGCAGAGAUGCGUAGCUGAUGGGAAGCAGGUUAAUAUUCCUGCACCGUCGUAUGAUGCGAUGGGGGGACGGAUCGCGGAAGGUUGUCCGGGUGUUGGAAGUCCCGGUCCCUACAUUGGAGAUGGCACUUAGGCAAAUCCGGGUGCGUGAUUCAAGGGUGUGGGGCGAGCGACGUUAGGUCGCGAAGCAAUUGGAAGUGGUUCCAAGAAAAGCCUCUAAGCUUCAGUCAUACGAGACCGUACCGCAAACCGACACAGGUGGGCGAGAUGAGUAUUCUAAGGCGCUUGAGAGAACUCGGGAGAAGGAACUCGGCAAAUUGGUACCGUAACUUCGGGAUAAGGUACGCCCUUGUAGUUUGACUGGCUCGCGCCAGAAGGAUGAAGGGGUUGCAAUAAAAUGGUGGCUGCGACUGUUUAAUAAAAACACAGCACUCUGCAAACACGAAAGUGGACGUAUAGGGUGUGACGCCUGCCCGGUGCCGGAAGAUUAAAUGAUGGGGUGCAAGCUCUUGAUUGAAGUCCCGGUAAACGGCGGCCGUAACUAUAACGGUCCUAAGGUAGCGAAAUUCCUUGUCGGGUAAGUUCCGACCUGCACGAAUGGCGUAACGAUGGCCACACUGUCUCCUCCCGAGACUCAGCGAAGUUGAAGUGUUUGUGAUGAUGCAAUCUCCCCGCGGCUAGACGGAAAGACCCCAUGAACCUUUACUGUAGCUUUGCAUUGGACUUUGAACCGAUCUGUGUAGGAUAGGUGGGAGGCUUUGAAACCGGGACGCUAGUUUCGGUGGAGCCGACCUUGAAAUACCACCCUGGUUUGUUUGAGGUUCUAACCUUGGCCCGUGAAUCCGGGUCGGGGACAGUGCAUGGUAGGCAGUUUGACUGGGGCGGUCUCCUCCCAAAGUGUAACGGAGGAGUUCGAAGGUACGCUUGGUACGGUCGGACAUCGUACCUAAAGUGCAAUGGCAAAAGCGUGCUUAACUGCGAGACCGACAAGUCGAGCAGGUGCGAAAGCAGGACAUAGUGAUCCGGUGGUUCUGUAUGGAAGGGCCAUCGCUCAACGGAUAAAAGGUACUCUGGGGAUAACAGGCUGAUACCGCCCAAGAGUUCAUAUCGACGGCGGUGUUUGGCACCUCGAUGUCGGCUCAUCUCAUCCUGGGGCUGUAGCCGGUCCCAAGGGUAUGGCUGUUCGCCAUUUAAAGAGGUACGUGAGCUGGGUUUAAAACGUCGUGAGACAGUUUGGUCCCUAUCUGCCGUGGGCGUUGGAAUCUUGACGGGGGCUGCUCCUAGUACGAGAGGACCGGAGUGGACGUACCGCUGGUGUACCUGUUGUCUCGCCAGAGGCAUCGCAGGGUAGCUAUGUACGGAAGAGAUAACCGCUGAAAGCAUCUAAGCGGGAAACUCGCCUGAAGAUGAGGAUUCCCUGGAGACUUGAUCUCCCUGAAGGGUCGUUCGAGACCAGGACGUUGAUAGGCUGGGUGUGGAAGCGCAGUAAUGCGUUCAGCUAACCAGUACUAAUUGCCCGUGCGGCUUGAUCCUAUAACC
This 2892-nucleotide ribosomal RNA is filed under the name Ralstonia solanacearum. RNAcentral's name for it is "bacterial LSU rRNA". It matches the Rfam family "Bacterial large subunit ribosomal RNA". The record is from RNAcentral. RNAcentral also lists the same sequence under 1 other name. Lineage: Bacteria; Pseudomonadati; Pseudomonadota; Betaproteobacteria; Burkholderiales; Burkholderiaceae.